Molecule: ribosomal RNA, 253 nt
Filed under: uncultured bacterium
Lineage: Bacteria
Description: partial 16S ribosomal RNA
Rfam family: Bacterial small subunit ribosomal RNA
Source: RNAcentral
UACGGGGGGGGCUAGCGUUGCUCGGAAUUACUGGGCGUAAAGGGCGCGUAGGCGGCCUACUAAGUCGGACGUGAAAUCCCUCGGCUCAACCGGGGAACUGCGUCCGAUACUGGUGGGCUCGAAUCCGGGAGAGGGAUGUGGAAUUCCAGGUGUAGCGGUGAAAUGCGUAGAUAUCUGGAGGAACACCGGUGGCGAAGGCGGCAUCCUGGACCGGUAUUGACGCUGAUGCGCGAAAGCCAGGGGAGCAAACGGG